RNAcentral lists this transfer RNA (73 nucleotides) under Felis catus (domestic cat). It matches the Rfam family "tRNA". Rfam says of the family: Transfer RNA (tRNA) molecules are approximately 80 nucleotides in length. The record is from Rfam by way of RNAcentral. RNAcentral also lists the same sequence under 2 other names. Lineage: Eukaryota; Metazoa; Chordata; Mammalia; Carnivora; Felidae.
ACUUGGCUGGCUCAGUCAGUAGAGCAUGCGACUCUUGAUCUCAGGGUCAUGAGUUCGAGUCUCACAUUGGGUG